This 502-nucleotide ribosomal RNA is filed under the name uncultured bacterium. RNAcentral's name for it is "partial 16S ribosomal RNA". It matches the Rfam family "Bacterial small subunit ribosomal RNA", at positions 28 to 507 of the family's 1533-position model. The record is from RNAcentral.
GAUUAACGCUGGCGGCGUGCCUAACACAUGCAAGUCGAGCGGCAGCGAGUUUUACACUGAAUUCUGGAAGCUUCUAGUUGAAAGAGAAGAUUUAUUCAAGAAUUUUGUGUAAAAUGUCGGCGAGCGGCGGACGGCUGAGUAACGCGUGGGAACGUACCCCAAAGUGAGGGAUAACGCAUCGAAAGGUGUGCUAAUACCGCAUAUGGUCUUCGGAUUAAAGCCUUCGGGCGCUUUGGGAACGGCCUGCGUAAGAUUAGAUAGUUGGUGGGGUAAUGGCCUACCAAGUCGACGAUCUUUAACUGGUUUGAGAGGAUGAUCAGUCAGACUGGAACUGAGACACGGUCCAGACUCCUACGGGAGGCAGCAGUGAGGAAUCUUCCACAAUGGGCGAAAGCCUGAUGGAGCAACGCCGCGUGCAGGAUGAAGGCCUUCGGGUUGUAAACUUCUUUUAUAAGUGAGGAUUAUGACAGUAACUUAUGAAUAAGGAUCGGCUAACUACGUG